RNAcentral lists this ribosomal RNA (357 nucleotides) under Macrocneme chrysitis. Its description in RNAcentral is "partial 28S ribosomal RNA". Lineage: Eukaryota; Metazoa; Arthropoda; Insecta; Lepidoptera; Erebidae. The record is from RNAcentral.
GAGAGAUUCAUCGUCAUUCCGCGGCGUACGGGCUGCGCGCUUCGAUGUCGUCGGCCUCGGUCGUCUGGCACGACGCGCGUCCGUCGACGUCCGCGGACGGCGUGCACUUCUCUCUUAGUAAAUGCAUCGCGACCCGUUCGAUGUCGGUGUAAGCGCCGUUCGGGAGCCCCACGGUCCCUUCACGGGGUCUGUGGGACCGCGACGGUGGCCGACCGGCCGUCGGACGGUAGUUCUGACGAAACGCGCACGCGUUUACAACGCGUCCGGCCCGACGCAAGUCAACGUCGUAUCCAGCGUACCGCCUCAGUGCGGACGCAGGUGCGGCGCGUCUGCUGUUGCUGCCGUGCAGUCUCGGAC